GCAGGGUGUAGUGGUGUGCACCUGUAAUCCCAGAUACUCAGGAGGCUGAGGCAGGAGAAUCGCUUGAACCUGGGAGGUGGAGGUUGCAGUGAGCCAAGAUCGCACCAUUGUACUCCAGCCUGGGUGACGGAGCGAGACUCUGUCUUGAGGGGGGGGAAGAAAGACAUCAAUCUUUUCAGGAAUAUUAAUAUUCCUGGUAAUGAAAAAAGAAGGUAAAUUAUUGUUUAUUUUUUGAGACAGGGUCUCGCUCUUUCGCCCAGGCUGGAGUGCAGUGGUGCGAUCAUGGCUCACUGCAAACUCUACCUCCUGGGUUCAAGCAAUCCUCCCACCUCAA
RNAcentral lists this signal recognition particle RNA (334 nucleotides) under Pongo abelii (Sumatran orangutan). Its description in RNAcentral is "Metazoan signal recognition particle RNA (ENSPPYG00000039564.1)". It matches the Rfam family "Metazoan signal recognition particle RNA". Rfam says of the family: The signal recognition particle (SRP) is a universally conserved ribonucleoprotein. It is involved in the co-translational targeting of proteins to membranes. Lineage: Eukaryota; Metazoa; Chordata; Mammalia; Primates; Hominidae. The record is from Rfam by way of RNAcentral.